RNAcentral lists this long non-coding RNA (1352 nucleotides) under Sinocyclocheilus grahami. RNAcentral's name for it is "lncRNA (ENSSGRG00000035348.1)". The record is from RNAcentral. Lineage: Eukaryota; Metazoa; Chordata; Actinopteri; Cypriniformes; Cyprinidae.
UGUAGUGGAGGAAACGGAAGAGGAAGGUAAAACCGUGUUCGCUGUGUGUUGUGUUGCUUUUCCUGCAUGAGUUUAAAUUUAAGAUUAACUCCAAAAUAUGAUUAAAUUAGAAUUAGAUAAUCUUGAUACCACAUGUGACCUAAAACCAUUAGAAAGACCAGUUUCUUCUUCCUUUAUAGACUAGAGUCUUUCACAUGCAUGCAGUUAAUUUUUUCACAGUUAAUUCAUUCACUUACUCAUCCUCGUUUAUGCUAUUAUUUAUUUCUUCCUUCUUUCUUUCAUUUAUUCUAUCAUUCCUCCUCCUGAAGUGGAAGUGCCGCCUCCAUCAGAGGAAGGUAAAGCAUCAGUCUGACCUUUAUUUUGUGAUUUUCUGCACAUACAAAUUUGCAGUUCCCAAUACAAGGUGUUUAAUAUUUCAUGUUAUAUUUUCAUAUUAGAACCAGCCCCUGAGGAGGAAGGUAAACAUUCCCUCGUUUGAUUUGUUAAUUCAGUUAUUUAAAUGUUUAAUGCUUAAUUUUUUACUUUUUUAUAUUAUCAUAGGUACAAUAUCUAUAGGUACAAACCACUGCAACAACACAUUCUUAUUUGCAUGAUACCAAAUUCCUCAGUACUUACCAUUUGAACCAAAACCUGCAUUCAGGUAACUCGAGUUCAUUAUGAACAAACGUGGCAUUCAGUUGCACAUUUGUAACUGCAAUUCAGUUGCCAAGAGAAUUUCUUGUCAUAGACUGGCAGUUGAUUUCUCCAAAUUUCAUGUGUUUUAUCCAAAAACAUACAUAAAAGAAUAUCUGUUCCUAAAUGCCAGGUCUUAUGUUAUGGUAUGUUUAUAAUUUCUCAAGCUACAGUCUUUAUAAACUAACUGAUGUGCUGUUCUUAUAAUAGAGCCUGUGGAAGUACAAGGUAAUUAUUUCAGUUUUUAUUAAUAUCAUGGUUAUUUAUAUCUCAUAUACAAGUGUCUGUAUAUCUUCAUUCUUUAACCACUUAUAACUAUCUCAUAUCUGAACAGAAGAGCCAGAACCUGAACCACAAGGUAAAGCUCCUCAGGUUUAUAUUCAUUCAUAGAAUAUUGAUUAUGAACAAAUCAUUUAGCAUGAGUUUCGUGAUAUUCAGAUUCUCAUUCUUGGCAGCUGGUUUUGUAAUAUGUAAUGAGUGUAUAAUAUGAUCUGUUCAAUAGUAAGAAAUGUCAAAAUGAUGUGUCCUAUGAUGGACGGCUCAUUUUCUUGUUAAUGAAUUCAAACUGUGAUGAUCUGAAUCAAAAUUCUACCAUUAUUGCAACUGCAUGAUCUGUCAUUGUGAAGGCUGCAGGACAGAAACUGUGUUUAUUUGUAAGGUUUGUAUGUCAUGAUGCAAUA